This 253-nucleotide ribosomal RNA is filed under the name uncultured bacterium. Its description in RNAcentral is "partial 16S ribosomal RNA". It matches the Rfam family "Bacterial small subunit ribosomal RNA", at positions 524 to 776 of the family's 1533-position model. The record is from RNAcentral.
UACGGAGGUGGCAAGCGUUGCUCGGAAUCACUGGGCGUAAAGGGCGCGUAGGCGGGGAGGUAAGUCGGGUGUGAAAUCCCUCGGCCCAACUGAGGAACUGCGCCCGAGACUGCUUCUCUUGAGUCCCGGAGAGGAAGAUGGAAUUCCCGGUGUAGCGGUGAAAUGUGUAGAGAUCGGGAGGAACACCAGUGGCGAAGGCGACUACAUGGCCUGUUCUUGACGCUGAGGCGCGAAAGCUAGGGGAGCAAACGGG